UACAGAGGUCCCAAGCGUUGUUCGGAUUCAUUGGGCGUAAAGGGUGCGUAGGUGGCGCCGUAAGUCGGGUGUGAAAUUUCGGAGCUUAACUCCGAAACUGCAUUCGAUACUGCGGUGCUUGAGGACUGGAGAGGAGACUGGAAUUCAUGGUGUAGCAGUGAAAUGCGUAGAGAUCAUGAGGAAGACCAGUGGCGAAGGCGGGGUCCUGGGCCAGUACUGACGCUGAGGAGCGAAAGCGUGGGGAGCAAACAGG
RNAcentral lists this ribosomal RNA (253 nucleotides) under uncultured bacterium. Its description in RNAcentral is "partial 16S ribosomal RNA". It matches the Rfam family "Bacterial small subunit ribosomal RNA", at positions 524 to 776 of the family's 1533-position model. The record is from RNAcentral.